This 75-nucleotide transfer RNA is filed under the name Synergistales bacterium. RNAcentral describes it as "tRNA-Val". It matches the Rfam family "tRNA". From Rfam's summary of the family: Transfer RNA (tRNA) molecules are approximately 80 nucleotides in length. Their secondary structure includes four short double-helical elements and three loops (D, anti-codon, and T loops). Lineage: Bacteria; Thermotogati; Synergistota; Synergistia; Synergistales. RNAcentral also lists the same sequence under 2 other names. The record is from RNAcentral.
GGGUGGUUAGUUCAGAGGAAGAACGCUUCCUUGACACGGAAGAGGUCACAGGUUCGAUUCCUGUACCACCCACCA